This 816-nucleotide ribosomal RNA is filed under the name Paenibacillus sp. Gi-724. RNAcentral's name for it is "bacterial SSU rRNA". It matches the Rfam family "Bacterial small subunit ribosomal RNA", at positions 35 to 831 of the family's 1533-position model. The record is from RNAcentral. Lineage: Bacteria; Bacillati; Bacillota; Bacilli; Caryophanales; Paenibacillaceae.
CCUGGCGGCGUGCCUAUACAUGCGAGUCGAGCGGACUUGAUGAGGAGCUUGCUCCUCUGAUGGUUAGCGGCGGACGGGUGAGUAACACGUAGGCAACCUGCCUGCAAGACCGGGAUAACUAGCGGAAACGUUAGCUAAUACCGGAUAAUUUAUCGCUUUGCAUGAAGCGGUAAUGAAAGACGGAGCAAUCUGUCACUUGGAGAUGGGCCUGCGGCGCAUUAGCUAGUUGGUGAGGUAACGGCUCACCAAGGCGACGAUGCGUAGCCGACCUGAGAGGGUGAACGGCCACACUGGGACUGAGACACGGGCCAGACUCCUACGGGAGGCAGCAGUAGGGAAUCUUCCGCAAUGGGCGAAAGCCUGACGGAGCAACGCCGCGUGAGUGAUGAAGGUUUUCGGAUCGUAAAGCUCUGUUGCCAGGGAAGAACGACCGUUAGAGUAACUGCUAACGGAGUGACGGUACCUGAGAAGAAAGCCCCGGCUAACUACGUGCCAGCAGCCGCGGUAAUACGUAGGGGGCAAGCGUUGUCCGGAAUUAUUGGGCGUAAAGCGCGCGCAGGCGGUCGCUUAAGUCUGGUGUUUAAGGCCAAGGCUCAACCUUGGUUCGCACUGGAAACUGGGUGACUUGAGUGCAGAAGAGGAGAGUGGAAUUCCACGUGUAGCGGUGAAAUGCGUAGAGAUGUGGAGGAACACCAGUGGCAAAGGCGACUCUCUGGGCUGUAACUGACGCUGAGGCGCGAAAGCGUGAGGGAGCAAACAGGAUUAGAUACCCUGGUAGUCCACGCCGUAAACGAUGAAUGCUAGGUGGUAAGGGGG